RNAcentral lists this ribosomal RNA (689 nucleotides) under uncultured bacterium. RNAcentral's name for it is "bacterial SSU rRNA". It matches the Rfam family "Bacterial small subunit ribosomal RNA", at positions 9 to 685 of the family's 1533-position model. The record is from RNAcentral.
GAGUUUGAUCCUGGCUCAGGACGAACGCUGACGGUGUGCUUUAGACAUGCAAGUCGAACGAGAAAGCCCUUCGGGGUGAGUACAGUGGCGAACGGGUGAGUAACACGUGGGCAACCUGCCCCUCGCAGGGGGACAACCGGAGGAAACUCCGGCUAAUACCCCGUAAGCUUGUUGGGUCGCAUGACCCUUCAAGGAAAGGUAGCUUCGGCCAUCCGGCGAGGGAUGGGCCCGCGGUACAUUAGCUAGUUGGUGGGGUAACGGCCCACCAAGGCGACGAUGUAUAGCUGGUCUGAGAGGAUGAUCAGCCACACUGGGACUGAGACACGGCCCAGACUCCUACGGGAGGCAGCAGUCGGGAAUCUUGCGCAAUGGGCGAAAGCCUGACGCAGCAACACCGUGUGAGCGACGAAGGCCUUCGGGUCGUAAAGCUCUGUUGUUGGGGACGAAGGGCGAAGGGUUAAUAGCCCCUAGCCUGACGGUACCCUUCGAGGAAGCCCCGGCUAACUACGUGCCAGCAGCCGCGGUAAUACGUAGGGGGCGAGCGUUGUCCGGAAUUAUUGGGCGUAAAGGGCGCGUAGGUGGUCUUAUAAGGGUGUGGUGAAAGCCCGGGGCUCAACCCCGGGUCGGCCGUGCCGACUGUAAGACUAGAGUGCUGUAGGGGCAGGCGGAAUUCCGGGUGUAGCGGUGGA